Molecule: ribosomal RNA, 2893 nt
Filed under: Acinetobacter baumannii
Lineage: Bacteria; Pseudomonadati; Pseudomonadota; Gammaproteobacteria; Moraxellales; Moraxellaceae
Description: 23S ribosomal RNA
Rfam family: Bacterial large subunit ribosomal RNA
Source: RNAcentral
AGUCAAGUAAUUAAGUGCAUGUGGUGGAUGCCUUGGCAGUCAGAGGCGAUGAAAGACGUGAUAGCCUGCGAAAAGCUCCGGGGAGGCGGCAAAUAUCCUUUGAUCCGGAGAUGUCUGAAUGGGGGAACCCACCUACUUUAAGGUAGGUAUUGCAACAUGAAUACAUAGUGUUGCAAGGCGAACGAGGGGAAGUGAAACAUCUCAGUACCCUUAGGAAAAGAAAUCAAUUGAGAUUCCCUCAGUAGCGGCGAGCGAACGGGGAUCAGCCCAUUAAGUUAUGUGUGUUUUAGUGGAACGCUCUGGGAAGUGCGAACGUAGAGGGUGAUAUUCCCGUACACGAAAGGGCACACAUAAUGAUGACGAGUAGGGCGAGGCACGUGAAACCUUGUCUGAAUAUGGGGGGACCAUCCUCCAAGGCUAAAUACUCCUGACUGACCGAUAGUGAACCAGUACCGUGAGGGAAAGGCGAAAAGAACCCCUGUGAGGGGAGUGAAAUAGAUCCUGAAACCGCAUGCAUACAAGCAGUGGGAGCACCUUCGUGGUGUGACUGCGUACCUUUUGUAUAAUGGGUCAGCGACUUAUAUUCAGUAGCGAGGUUAACCGUAUAGGGGAGCCGUAGAGAAAUCGAGUCUUAAUAGGGCGUUUAGUUGCUGGGUAUAGACCCGAAACCAGGCGAUCUAUCCAUGAGCAGGUUGAAGGUUGGGUAACACUAACUGGAGGACCGAACCCACUGUCGUUGAAAAGCCAGGGGAUGACUUGUGGAUAGGGGUGAAAGGCUAAUCAAGCCUGGUGAUAGCUGGUUCUCCCCGAAAGCUAUUUAGGUAGCGCCUCGGACGAAUACCAUAGGGGGUAGAGCACUGUUUCGGCUAGGGGGUCAUCCCGACUUACCAAACCGAUGCAAACUCCGAAUACCUAUGAGUACUAUCCGGGAGACAGACUGCGGGUGCUAACGUCCGUAGUCAAGAGGAAAACAAUCCAGACCGCCAGCUAAGGCCCCAAAAUCAUAGUUAAGUGGGAAACGAUGUGGGAAGGCAUAGACAGCUAGGAGGUUGGCUUAGAAGCAGCCACCCUUUAAAGAAAGCGUAAUAGCUCACUAGUCGAGUCGGCCUGCGCGGAAGAUGUAACGGGGCUAAAACUAUGUGCCGAAGCUGCGGAUGUAUACUUUGUAUACGUGGUAGGGGAGCGUUCUGUAAGCCGAUGAAGGUGUGUUGAGAAGCAUGCUGGAGGUAUCAGAAGUGCGAAUGCUGACGUGAGUAACGACAAAACGGGUGAAAAACCCGUUCGCCGAAAGACCAAGGGUUCCAGUCCAACGUUAAUCGGGGCUGGGUGAGUCGACCCCUAAGGCGAGGCCGAAAGGCGUAGUCGAUGGGAAAAUGGUUAAUAUUCCAUUACUUCUGUGUAAUGCGAUGAGAGGACGGAGAAGGCUAAAUCAGCCUGGCGUUGGUUGUCCAGGUGAAAGGAUGUAGGCAUGUAUCUUAGGCAAAUCCGGGGUACUCUAUGCUGAGAUCUGAUAGCAAGCUGUACUUGUACAGCGAAGUGGUUGAUGCCAUGCUUCCAGGAAAAGUCUCUAAGCUUCAGUUACACAGGAAUCGUACCCGAAACCGACACAGGUGGUCAGGUCGAGUAGACCAAGGCGCUUGAGAGAACUCUGCUGAAGGAACUAGGCAAAAUGGUACCGUAACUUCGGGAGAAGGUACGCUGUUGUUGGUGAUGGAACUCGCUUCCUGAGCUGACGACAGCCGCAGAAACCAGGCCGCUGCAACUGUUUAUUAAAAACAUAGCACUCUGCAAACACGAAAGUGGACGUAUAGGGUGUGAUGCCUGCCCGGUGCUGGAAGGUUAAUUGAUGGGGUUAGCGUAAGCGAAGCUCUUGAUCGAAGCCCCAGUAAACGGCGGCCGUAACUAUAACGGUCCUAAGGUAGCGAAAUUCCUUGUCGGGUAAGUUCCGACCUGCACGAAUGGCAUAAUGAUGGCGGCGCUGUCUCCAGCAGAGGCUCAGUGAAAUCGAAAUCGCUGUGAAGAUGCAGUGUACCCGCGGCUAGACGGAAAGACCCCGUGAACCUUUACUGCAGCUUGACACUGAACUUUGACCUUACUUGUGUAGGAUAGGUGGGAGGCUUUGAAGCUGGAACGCUAGUUCCAGUGGAGCCGUCCUUGAAAUACCACCCUGGUAAUGUUGAGGUUCUAACUCUGUCCCGUGAUCCGGGACGAGGACCGUGUCUGGUUGGGUAGUUUGACUGGGGCGGUCUCCUCCUAAAGAGUAACGGAGGAGUACGAAGGUGCGCUCAGCGUGGUCGGAAAUCACGCGUAGAGUAUAAAGGCAAAAGCGCGCUUAACUGCGAGACCCACAAGUCGAGCAGGUACGAAAGUAGGUCUUAGUGAUCCGGUGGUUCUGUAUGGAAGGGCCAUCGCUCAACGGAUAAAAGGUACUCUGGGGAUAACAGGCUGAUACCGCCCAAGAGUUCAUAUCGACGGCGGUGUUUGGCACCUCGAUGUCGGCUCAUCUCAUCCUGGGGCUGAAGCAGGUCCCAAGGGUAUGGCUGUUCGCCAUUUAAAGAGGUACGCGAGCUGGGUUUAGAACGUCGUGAGACAGUUCGGUCCCUAUCUACCGUGGGCGCUGGAAAUUUGAGAGGAUCUGCUCCUAGUACGAGAGGACCAGAGUGGACGAACCUCUGGUGUACCGGUUGUGACGCCAGUCGCAUCGCCGGGUAGCUAUGUUCGGAAGGGAUAACCGCUGAAAGCAUCUAAGCGGGAAGCCUACCUCAAGAUAAGAUUUCCUAGGACUUUAUGUCCUCUAAAGAGCCGUUCGAGACUAGGACGUUGAUAGGUUGGAUGUGGAAGCAUAGUGAUAUGUGAAGCUGACCAAUACUAAUUGCUCGUGAGGCUUGACUAU